CCCUCCGAAAUGAAUUAGGAGUUAAUGACACGGGCAGCCAGCGGAGCUGUGCUAUUAAGGAGCCGUCCAGGGCUAUAAUCAUACCAAAGCAAGAAAAAAAAAAAAAAGCCGCCGGGAUAAUUAAGGCUGAUGAUUAGGCGAAGAGGAAACUUUAGAAGAUCGCGGCUCUGCCUCCUCUCUUGCCGCCGGCUCGGCUCCUCCCGGCACCCCCGGCUCCCCCAGCCGCGCCUCCGCCGCUCCGUCGGGUACCGGCGCGCCCCCGCCCCGCCAGCCCUCCUGGACCGGGAUCUGCUUGAUCCCCGGCUGGGUCUCCGAGAAACGAGGCGCUUUUCCACAGGGUUGCAAGGUGCGGGAUGCUGGACCCUCCCUUAGCGAAACGGCCCGGCGAGGAAACGCGGGUAUCUGUUCCCCGCCGCUUAUUUUUCAUUCGAAAAGGGGGUUUGUUUGCGUUUCCUCGGCAGCGCGACCCAAGUCGGGCAAAACCACUCUGCAAAGGUAUUUCGGUGGCACAGGCCAUGGAUGUCCUGCCACCCACUGUCCACUGCUACUACAAUGCCUCUGAGACACAAAGAAUCUGUUGAGCUAUGAAAAAACAAUUCGAUACGUGCAUAGCAAGAGCCAAGAAGAGAAAAGACCAUGGGGUUAUCUUCUAAGAUAGACAAAGAACCACCACUUGAACUCAUCUGACUCGACUGCAGAUCUGUGCUUGAUCCUUUGUGACAGCGUUUUUCCCUCUUUCCUAAAUUGAGGAGAGCCUGGAAGAGGAAAAGUUAAGUUUUCACCUGAAAACCAAACAUUAUUUGUCAUCUGAGAAGCACCAGAAAUUUUCUAGUCAAAACUGUUUGUAUGAGAUUUCACAGUUAAGUUUCAAAGGUCUGAAGUGGAUAAGCUUCCCAACUCACAGAAAUUUGACUCCAGUAUUUGUAAUGCCAAGUUUUCAAAAAGUUUUUCAGCCCUGAGAAUUAACUUGUCAACUGUGAAGAAGCUUUGAAUUUGUUCAUAAAUCAUUUUGCUGCAGGCUAAAAUUUGACAUGCUGUAGGUAAACAUAUUUUUUUUCUGGAAAAAAAUUGACAAAUACAUUAUUACUAUUUUUCACCUUUAGAAUAGUGUCUCUGAUGUCUCCACUUUAUGACUAAACCAAAUUUUCUCCUCAUUACGUUACACUGUGUUAUUACACUGUCGAGGUAAGUGAUCACCACGAGGCUGAGAACUGCAGCCAGAUCAAUAGUGGGACAGGUUCCAAAGGAUUAAUUUUCAAUUCAGAUUUCUGCUUUGUGCUUGUAUCAAGCUGUGUCUCCUUCCCACCUUUGUGCAUGUGAAGCUACAGGAUUUUCAGGAUUUUGACCUGACCUUGAAAUCCCUCCAGACGUCAACGAGAUCUGUUCCUGGGGAGAGCUUGCUACAUUCACCCUGGAGACGCCGCGCAGCAAUUCCCCCUCUUGUAUUUUGAAUAUACCUCACUGUGCCAGCACUGCUGAUGUGCUAUUGAGGCUGAGAAUUUUUGACAAGUGACUCAUCACCGCUCCAGCAAUAUGUUACAUUUGAUCAUGGAGUCCUAGAGGGUUUUUAGCAAGCAAUUAGGAGGUGGAUGUGAAAAUAAUUUGUACGUUUGUCUGUUUGUUGUUUGUCUCCGGCUCUUCUAUAAUCAGUUACCUCCCUCCCUUCCGCUGUGGGCAGGAGGGGCCAAAGAAACGCGGCUGCGGUUCCUCUGGGCUUGAGCCCAGCGGUGCCUGACCUGGGUAUUCUGUGUUCCUGGUGUACAACGUGUGCUCCGGGAAGAUGGGAGAGGGUUAGUCUGAGCUGUCAUGCUGCUACUUGUCCUCUUCCCUGACAAAAACGCUCUGCGCUGACUCUCAUCGCUGUGAACAGACUGAAUAGAGACAUGAUGUAAAAAUUAAAUCACUUGAAUUUUUUUUUUGGGCUAACGCUUGGCUUUAUAUAAACUCAGAGACAAUCCUAUAAGGCACUCAGGGCAGAUUAUAGGUUUGGGCAAAGCUAGAAAAUUGCUGCCAUUAUAUUGUUAUUAUUAACACCUUGUAAUUAGCCCUAAGGAAUCCUGAAGUUCUCUCUCCUGAUUUGGCUUUAAUGAAGGAAAAUUGCUACCUUUGCAAGUUGGAUGGCGCCCGCUCUGAUUAGUCUUAAGUAUAUAGGACUAUUAUUUUGAAGAUGUUUGUUGUCAUGUGAAUAUUAGUAUUGCAUGUAGAAGGGGGGAGGGGAGCGGAGUGGGCUCUUUUAUUUCUCAACUGUGAUGAGUCACAUGUUCACUUUAGUUACGGUCAUCCCCUUAAAAAUCAAGAAUGGAAACCUUGUCAAGGUAUCCCGACCACAAGCUAAUGAAUUCAGGAGGAUCCUGUGGCAAGUGUUGCCAGCUGCCCUACCUGCUGAUUGCAUUGGCUGAUGGAGUAAUUGUUGCAUGGAGAUAGUUUUAUGAUUGCUUUGAGAGUCUGAAUGAGAUCAUGCGUGAGUUAGCACACUAAGUGCAAUAAAAAUGAUUUUAUUUGCAUGUCCCAGAGCCUUUCCUGAUUCCUUUGCUGCUUUCACAGGCAACGUCUUCCCAGUGAAACCAAGCCAACAUUAAUAAAACAUCCCUUCCAUACAUCUCCACUCCUCUCCUCCCACAUACUGUAUGCUUUCAUUACCAUCUCUGGGAAAAAACUGACAUUAAAGAAA
Columba livia (rock pigeon) is the source of this 2671-nucleotide long non-coding RNA. RefSeq lists it as uncharacterized. The transcript has 5 exons. Lineage: Eukaryota; Metazoa; Chordata; Aves; Columbiformes; Columbidae. The record is from RefSeq and is a predicted model, not a curated record.